AAGCCCCACUGAAGAUGGUGAAAGUGAAGAGGCAGAAGGGAGAUGACCACCAUUCAAAGAUGCAAUGAGAAAUGCAGAAGGACCAGGGGGACAGCAGGAGCUUCAGCUGAGCCACAGGGAGCAGGAGUUGGAGAAGAGAUGCUGAACUGGAAUUGGGCAUCCAGUGACAGAUGCAGGUGCAGGGGUAGAUCCAGAGGAGUCCAGUGGUGCAGUCAUGGCCCCAUGUUCAGACCACACUGCAGGAGAAGAAGCUGGGGACCUUUUUUUAAGUCCCUGAGUCAGAUGGAAGUGCCUCAUCUGCUGGGAUUUCCUGCCCUCCAGCGGGAUCUGCUUUGUUGACAUCAGUGAUCAUUUCAGCACUGUGGACAGAGGAAAGAUGGUUUCUACAGCUGCAUGCCUGUAUCAGAGCACAUUGUGUGGCAGCAUCGAUUUUUUCUGCUCCUACAGUAAAGGUCUCUGUUUGCGACCAGGCAUCAUGUCUCUCGUUGUGAUUAAAAGCCUCCUUCUUAAGUACUAUGUGUGAUGAGCUGUACUGAGGUAGAGCAGCUGGCCCUUUAUUGUCCUCCUGUGUAGCUUGUAAAAUAGCCUCUUCCUGUUGAGGAAUUCUGGCUGCUUUGACAGCCAAACUAUUGCCUGGAAGGAAAGGCAUGCUGUCUGUAUGAGAGCUGCACUCUGGGCCUUUGCUUGUUGAAGCAGCACUUGGAUUGGCUUUGUUUCUGUGAAAAGAGUUCUCAUAAAGACAUUUCUUCUUUUCAGCUCGUUCCUCCUCUUCUGACUGUUGAAGCAGAUUAGUGAUACUUACAGGUGCCCAUAAGUCCAGUAACUCCAUAAUGGAACAAGAGAUAAGCAACAUGAAAAGUCCAAACCUGCCCCCUUUUUAUUCAAGAACAGUUAAAAACACUGGGGCCAAAUUCUGCUUACUUACCAGCAAAUAAUGUAAUGCAUGGCAUAGCACCAAGCUGAUAGUACCAGCAUUCCUUAUGGUCCAAUAUUCCUAUAAAGCUUUAAAAUGACAAUUUUUUUUCUGCUGCUCACACAUGCAAAGUUUUUAGACAAGUCAAAUAAUAAAACAAGAUUAGGCAGCA
RNAcentral lists this long non-coding RNA (1085 nucleotides) under Crocodylus porosus (Australian saltwater crocodile). RNAcentral describes it as "lncRNA (ENSCPRG00005013528.1)". Lineage: Eukaryota; Metazoa; Chordata; Crocodylia; Crocodylidae. The record is from RNAcentral.